AACGAACGCUGGCGGCAUGCCUAACACAUGCAAGUCGAACGAGACCUCCGGGUCUAGUGGCGCACGGGUGCGUAACGCGUGGGAACCUGCCCUUAGGUUCGGAAUAACUCCCCGAAAGGGGUGCUAAUACCGGAUAAUGUCCUCGGACCAAAGAUUUAUCGCCUUUGGAUGGGCUGGCGUUGGCUUAGCUAGUUGGUAGGGUAAAAGCCUACCAAGGCGACGAUACAUAGCUGGUCUGAGAGGAUGAUCAGCCACACUGGGACUGAGACACGGCCCAGACUCCUACGGGAGGCAGCAGUGGGGAAUAUUGGAAAAUGGGCGAAAGGCUGAUCCAGCAAUGCCGCGUGAGUGAUGAAGGCCUUAGGGUUGUAAAGCUCUUUUACACGGGAUGAUAAUGACAGUACCGGGAGAAUAAGCUCCGGCUAACUCCGUG
Molecule: ribosomal RNA, 433 nt
Filed under: uncultured bacterium
Lineage: Bacteria
Description: partial 16S ribosomal RNA
Rfam family: Bacterial small subunit ribosomal RNA
Source: RNAcentral